RNAcentral lists this unclassified non-coding RNA (205 nucleotides) under Ophiostoma sp. RNAcentral's name for it is "internal trancribed spacer 1". The record is from RNAcentral. Lineage: Eukaryota; Fungi; Ascomycota; Sordariomycetes; Ophiostomatales; Ophiostomataceae.
GCGAGUUUUCAACUCCCAACCCUUGCGAACCGUACCCCGUUCUGUUCUCGUUGCCUCUGGCGGGAGGGGGCGGGGGGCCGCCCCUCGGGGCGCGCCCCCCUGCCUCCCCCGGUCCCCUGACGGGGCGCCCGCCAGCGGCCGCGAGCCGCCCGAACUUUUAUCACAACCGUAACCGUCCCGUCUGAGAAACAAACAAAAACAGCCA